This 253-nucleotide ribosomal RNA is filed under the name uncultured bacterium. RNAcentral describes it as "partial 16S ribosomal RNA". It matches the Rfam family "Bacterial small subunit ribosomal RNA", at positions 524 to 776 of the family's 1533-position model. The record is from RNAcentral.
UACGUAGGGUGCGAGCGUUGUCCGGAAUUAUUGGGCGUAAAGAGCUUGUAGGCGGUUUGUCGCGUCUGCUGUGAAAAUCCGGGGCUCAACCCCGGACUUGCAGUGGGUACGGGCAGACUAGAGUGUGGUAGGGGAGACUGGAAUUCCUGGUGUGGCGGUGAAAUGCGCAGAUAUCAGGAGGAACACCGAUGGCGAAGGCAGGUCUCUGGGCCACUACUGACGCUGAGAAGCGAAAGCAUGGGGAGCGAACAGG